ACCAAUGAGAUAGCGCCAGACCUUUGAUAGAGGUGACGAGGAAGAAGCUUAUCGAAAUAUUCGGCGGGUGGCUUCAGGGCAGCUGUGCUCUACAGAUCAUUACAAAACUUUUAUAAAAAAACAAAAAAAUGGUCAGACAGAUCG
Molecule: non-coding RNA, 144 nt
Filed under: Enterococcus devriesei
Lineage: Bacteria; Bacillati; Bacillota; Bacilli; Lactobacillales; Enterococcaceae
Description: GlcN6P sequence
Rfam family: glmS glucosamine-6-phosphate activated ribozyme aptamer
About the family: This entry contains a glucosamine-6-phosphate activated ribozyme that is found in the mRNA for GlmS.
Source: RNAcentral